CAGCACCCCAAGUGGUCAGGAUGAUUAUUGGGCCUAAAGCAUCCGUAGCCGGCGCUGUAAGUUUUCGGUUAAAUCUGUACGCUCAACGUACAGGCUGCCGGGAAUACUGCAGCGCUAGGGAGUGGGAGAGGUAGACGGUACUCGGUAGGAAGGGGUAAAAUCCUUUGAUCUAUUGAUGACCACCUGUGGCGAAGGCGGUCUACCAGAACACGUCCGACGGUGAGGGAUGAAAGCUGGGGGAGCAAACCGGAUUAGAUACCCGGUAGUC
Molecule: ribosomal RNA, 268 nt
Filed under: uncultured archaeon
Lineage: Archaea
Description: partial 16S ribosomal RNA
Rfam family: Archaeal small subunit ribosomal RNA
Source: RNAcentral